Molecule: ribosomal RNA, 468 nt
Filed under: uncultured bacterium
Lineage: Bacteria
Description: partial 16S ribosomal RNA
Rfam family: Bacterial small subunit ribosomal RNA
Source: RNAcentral
GACGAACGCUGGCGGCGUGCUUAACACAUGCAAGUCGAACGGAAAGGCCCUGCUUUUGUGGGGUGCUCGAGUGGCGAACGGGUGAGUAACACGUGAGUAACCUGCCCUUGACUUUGGGAUAACUUCAGGAAACUGGGGCUAAUACCGGAUAGGAGCUCCUGCUGCAUGGUGGGGGUUGGAAAGUUUCGGCGGUUGGGGAUGGACUCGCGGCUUAUCAGCUUGUUGGUGGGGUAGUGGCUUACCAAGGGUUUGACGGGUAGCCGGCCUGUGAGGGUGACCGGCCACAUUGGGACUGAGAUACGGCCCAGACUCCUACGGGAGGCAGCAGGGGGGAAUAUUGCACAGUGGGCGGGAGCCUGAUGCAGCGACGCCGCGUGCGGGAAGACGGCCUUCGGGUUGUAAACCGCUUUCGCCUGAGACGAAGCGUGAGUGACGGUAAUUGGUAAAGAAGCACCGGCUAACUACGUG